UUUAUCAAAAACAUGGCUCCUUGUAGAUUAUAGAUGGGGAGUCGGACCUGCCCGGUGAAUUUAUUUUAACGGCCGCGGUCCCUGACCGUGCGAAGGUAGCAUAAUAAUUUGCCUUAUAAUUGGAGGCUUGUAUGAAUGGUUUGACUUGAACAAAUCUGUCUCUUUAUAAUUUUAUAGAAUUUUAUUUUUAGGUGAAGAAGCCUAGAUGUAAUUAAUAGACAAGAAGACCCUAUCGAGCUUUAAAGAAGUUGGUAGAGUUAAGUGUUAAUAUAUAUAAAAGAUUUAACUAUUAAAAAUUUUGGUUGGGGCGACUAAGGAACAGAUAAAGCUUCCUGGAUUUAGAAUAUUUACAUGUGUUGAUCCAAAUUUUUUGAUUAAAGGAAUUAGUUACCGUAGGGAUAACAGCAUUAUCUUCUUUGAGAGUUCUUAUCGAAAAGGGGGUUUGUGACCUCGAUGUUGGACCAGAAUGUCCUAAAGAUGCAGAAGUCUUUGAGGGUUGGUCUGUUCGACCAUUAAAAUUCUACGUGAUCUGAGUUCAGACCGGCGUGAGCCAGGUCAGUUUCUAUCUUUAAUUUUUUGUGCAAGCUUAGUACGAAAGGACCAGUUUGUAAUAUUAAAUGUUAUAAAUGAAGUAAUAUAAUUGAUUCGUGUCAAAUUAGCAAAUUUAAUGUAAUUGAUUUAGGAUCAGUAGAUAUAGGUGAAAGUCCUUUAUUUGACCUGAUAAAGGUGGCAGAUUAGUGCAUUAGGUUU
RNAcentral lists this ribosomal RNA (750 nucleotides) under Scalptia mercadoi. RNAcentral's name for it is "partial 16S ribosomal RNA". The stretch from base 1 to 594 matches the Rfam family "Bacterial large subunit ribosomal RNA", at positions 1803 to 2925 of the family's 2925-position model. The record is from RNAcentral. Lineage: Eukaryota; Metazoa; Mollusca; Gastropoda; Neogastropoda; Cancellariidae.